This 492-nucleotide ribosomal RNA is filed under the name uncultured bacterium. RNAcentral describes it as "partial 16S ribosomal RNA". It matches the Rfam family "Bacterial small subunit ribosomal RNA", at positions 29 to 507 of the family's 1533-position model. The record is from RNAcentral.
AGUGAACGCUGGCGGUAGGCCUAACACAUGCAAGUCGAACGGCAGCACAGUAAGAGCUUGCUCUUACGGGUGGCGAGUGGCGGACGGGUGAGGAAUACAUCGGAAUCUACUUUUUCGUGGGGGAUAAUGUAGGGAAACUUACGCUAAUACCGCAUACGACCUACGGGUGAAAGCAGGGGAUCUUCGGACCUUGCGCGAUUGAAUGAGCCGAUGUCGGAUUAGCUAGUUGGCGGGGUAAAGGCCCACCAAGGCGACGAUCCGUAGCUGGUCUGAGAGGAUGAUCAGCCACACUGGAACUGAGACACGGUCCACACUCCUACGGGAGGCGGCAGUGGGGAAUAUUGGACAAUGGGCGCAAGCCUGAUCCAGCCAUACCGCGUGGGUGAAGAAGGCCUUCGGGUUGUAAAGCCCUUUUGUUGGGAAAGAAAAGCAGCAGGUUAAUACCCCGCUGUUCUGACGGUACCCAAAGAAUAAGCACCGGCUAACUUCGUG